RNAcentral lists this ribosomal RNA (253 nucleotides) under uncultured bacterium. Its description in RNAcentral is "partial 16S ribosomal RNA". It matches the Rfam family "Bacterial small subunit ribosomal RNA", at positions 524 to 776 of the family's 1533-position model. The record is from RNAcentral.
UACAGAGGGGGCAAGCGUUAUUCGGAAUUAUUGGGCGUAAAGGGCGCGUAGGCGGCUUGGCAAGUGGAAGGUGAAAUCCCUCGGCUUAACCGAGGAACUGCCCUCCAAACUGCUUUGCUUGAGGCCGGGAGAGGCGAGUGGAAUUCCCAGUGUAGCGGUGAAAUGCGUAGAUAUUGGGAGGAACACCAGUGGCGAAGGCGGCUCGCUGGACCGGUUCUGACGCUGAGGUGCGAAAGCUAGGGGAGCAAACGGG